UAUGAUAUUCUAUAAUUUUCUUGUCUACAUCGUUGUGAUCUCAUUAUUCUUUGUUUUGGUCAAGUAAUUGAGGAUGUUUAAAUUGUUUGCAAGAACUACUUUCAUUAUCUAUUUGAGGCAUACUUCGUGAACCACAUGGAUUCAAGAAAGUGAUAUAGGCAUUGUUUCUUUCGUUUGAGCACUUCUAGCCAACCCGUAUCACUUUUAUGCCUAGUAACCCCUUUGUGCCUUUUAUGUAAGCCUUUUUAUUUCGUUCUUUACCCAAUUCUCCUCACCUUAAUCUAUCAUAUGUUUAUCCUAUACCCCUCUAAGGAGUUUUGUAGAGUAUUUUCGUUGUUAUGGAAUAAUUGCACAAAUUGUUCAAACAUGUGGAAAGUAAAGGAUACUAUUUCAAAACAAAAACAAACAAAAAAAAAAGAAGCUAAUUUCAAAGCCUUUUCAACUCGAGUUAUUAAGCUCUAGGAGUGUUUUAAAUUUAAUGCCCUAAAGCUAUCUAGCUUGGGAAUCAUUGGGCUAACACUCACUACAUGGGUUGAUUAGAAAGCUAAUGGUGUGAGGAAAAAAAAAAUUGUGAAAAAAAAAAAUUUCUGAAAAGAAAAUUGAAGACAGUAUCAAUAUGAAGUUUCGUGCUCAAAGUGCAAGAUGUUAUCAUUUUCAUGGAAAGCUCUAUGAAUUCCUUAGAAUUUGUUCAUCCGUAUCUUUUUCUUGUUUCACCCAUCACUCUAAGCCCCAUUACAACCUUAAGUCCUACUUGAUCCAAGGAGAAGUGUGGUUCCUCAUGUGGAGAAUAGGUGUGGAAGGACUAUGGUCAGAUGGUUUGAAUGUUUUCAAGUAUGCGAUAUCUUUUCAUGAGAUCUUUUAUAUUUUUCAUGUGCCUUUAUUUCACUUAUGUGAGUACAUCCUAUUGCUUUGAUUCCUCUCACAUAUUUAUGAGUGAUAGUAACUAGUCAAAUUUCGAGUGUUUUUAUUGGAGUGAACAUCCUUGAUGAGAUUUGAAGUUGAAGCUUGUUCUUAUUUAGUUAUUUAACUCGUGUGAAGCUUAAGUCGUGGGUUAUAUUAAUGUUGGCUAUUUCACACACUACAUCUAAGUUGUUCAAUUAAAGUUUGGUUAACCCUUUGAUAAUGUCUUGAGUUAUUGUUGCUUAUUUCUUGGAAGUUAACUAACGGUUGGUGAUUAUCUCUGAGAUCAAUAUUGGGAAGUUAGUCGAUCGCUUGUUUGCGUUGAGUCUUUGUUCUUUUGUUUUUAAUUUUCGUUUUCUUUCACUUAAGGACUAGCAAAAUAUAAGUUGUGUGUAUUUUUUAAGUCCAUAAAUUUACACAUUUAUGUACUCUUUAUACUUAGUUUUUGUAGGAGAAUUUGAUUUAAAAAGGACUUAUUACUUUAUUUUCUCAAUUUUCAGCUUUUCAUAGCAAGUAAUGGUUUUCAAUGGAAAUACGACUUUUUGGUGGAGUUUUAGUACAAGACUAGUUGGAGAUGAAAUCUAAGAUCUUGAAGAUGAUUGUGGAAUUUUUCUAGAAUUUUUGGAGCAGCCAAUGAGAGUAGUCUUUGAAGUUGAGUCAGCAUAAGGUGCAAUCCUGUCAAAACUGUGUUGCUGUGGAAGAAUGACUAUUUGAAGACUUUCUCCUCAAGGCGUGCGAUAUAUGGCUGGAAAGAUAAGCCAAAGACCUACAAUUUACAUAUUUUUGCCGAAUUUUCUUGAAGGACGAAUGACCCAAACGUGUAUGCAAAGUAACUGAUGUGUUAUCCCAGUCCAAGUAGGAGGAUGAGUCAACUACUUACCCAUUUUGGAUUUAUAUUUUAAUUAUGUUUUUCUUUAUUUUUGGGCUGUUGUAAAAGCCCCGCUACAGUAGGAACAGACGUGUGGUGUUUUAUUUAAGCAUGAGAAACAACUCCUUUGAGGGUUACACACUCAAAGACUAUGAGAAAUUGGAGACGCCGGAAGAGUACCGCAAUUGGCUAAGUUUUAUUGUUUCUUCCUUGUGUUUUUGCUUAUUAUGUGUAACUAAUUUUCUUUUGCUAGGGCAUGAUGUAAGCCUAGUAUGAUAAUCUAGUUUUCUUAUUUUACAUAUCUAUUGAUUGC
Molecule: long non-coding RNA, 2081 nt
Filed under: Prunus persica (peach)
Lineage: Eukaryota; Viridiplantae; Streptophyta; Magnoliopsida; Rosales; Rosaceae
Description: long non-coding RNA (PPER_LNC005068)
Source: RNAcentral